Molecule: ribosomal RNA, 758 nt
Filed under: uncultured bacterium gp2
Lineage: Bacteria
Description: bacterial SSU rRNA
Rfam family: Bacterial small subunit ribosomal RNA
Source: RNAcentral
UCGAGUGCGCAGCUUCCUGUAGCAAUACAGGGAGUGGGCGCACGGCGCACGGGUGAGUAACACGUGGGCAAUCUGCCCUCGGAAGGGGGAUAACUCGUCGAAAGGCGAGCUAAUACCGCAUGACAUUCCGAAGACUCCGGUCUUUGGAUUCAAAGGCCGCAAGGCCGUCUGAGGAGGAGCCCGCGCCCGAUUAGCUAGUUGGUGAGGUAACGGCUCACCAAGGCUUUGAUCGGUAGCCGGUCUGAGAGGAUGGCCGGCCACACUGGAACUGAGACACGGUCCAGACUCCUACGGGAGGCAGCAGUGGGGAAUAUUGCGCAAUGGGCGAAAGCCUGACGCAGCGACGCCGCGUGGGGGAUGAAGCUUCUCGGAGUGUAAACCCCUUUCGACCCGGACGAAUGACCCGCAAGGGUUUGACGGUACGGGUAUAAGAAGCCCCGGCUAACUACGUGCCAGCAGCCGCGGUAAUACGUAGGGGGCCAGCGUUGCUCGGAAUUACUGGGCGUAAAGGGUUCGUAGGUGGUGCGGCAAGUUGGAAGUGAAAUCUCUGGGCUUAACCCAGAGGCUGCUUUCAAAACUGCCGCGCUCGAGUGCGAGAGAGGUCAGUGGAAUUGCAGGUGUAGCGGUGAAAUGCGUAGAUAUCUGCAGGAACACCCGUGGCGAAGGCGGCUGACUGGAUCGCAACUGACACUGAGGAACGAAAGCUAGGGGAGCAAACAGGAUUAGAUACCCUGGUAGUCCUAGCCCUAAACCAUCGG